RNAcentral lists this ribosomal RNA (239 nucleotides) under uncultured bacterium. Its description in RNAcentral is "partial 16S ribosomal RNA". It matches the Rfam family "Bacterial small subunit ribosomal RNA", at positions 30 to 269 of the family's 1533-position model. The record is from RNAcentral.
AUUGAACGCUGGCGGCGUGCCUAACACAUGCAAGUCGAGCGGUAACAGGUGUAGCAAUACAUGCUGACGAGCGGCGAACGGGUGAGUAAUGCUUCGGAAUCUACCCAAUGGUGGGAAUAACCAGCCGAAAGGUUGGCUAAUACCGCAUACGUCCUACGGGAGAAAGCAGGGAUCGUAAGACCUUGCGCCAAUGGAUGAGCCGAAGUCGGAUUAGCUAGUUGGAGGGUAACGGCCGUACC